GUGUAGUAUUUUUGGUGUUUAUGCAGAGCGAUGGAUUAUAUAAGACGUAAAUGUACUCUUUGUCCAUCUAGUUUUUACCAACAUGGCCGAAGUAUUCACUACCUAUACACUUUGGUUAAAGUAUACACUACCUUUACACUGUGUACAUAUUUUGUAAACUAGAUGAAUGGGCUAUAAUUUCCCCUUAGUAUAAUGUGCAAAUUGACUUAUUUUCUUAGGAGGACACGUUCAACCCGGAAAGUUAAUGCUACAAGCGGAG
Molecule: long non-coding RNA, 259 nt
Filed under: Solanum tuberosum (potato)
Lineage: Eukaryota; Viridiplantae; Streptophyta; Magnoliopsida; Solanales; Solanaceae
Description: long non-coding RNA (STUB_LNC008640)
Source: RNAcentral